This 74-nucleotide small nuclear RNA is filed under the name Chlorocebus sabaeus (green monkey). The record is from RNAcentral. Lineage: Eukaryota; Metazoa; Chordata; Mammalia; Primates; Cercopithecidae.
GCUUGAUGCAGAGAAUAUUAGCAUGGCCCCUGCCCAAGAUUGACACACAAAUUUAUAAAGCAUUCUGUAUUUAA